Molecule: RNA transcript, 4774 nt
Organism: Choloepus didactylus (southern two-toed sloth)
Lineage: Eukaryota; Metazoa; Chordata; Mammalia; Pilosa; Megalonychidae
Gene: TTC17
Gene name: tetratricopeptide repeat domain 17
Exons: 21
Source: RefSeq, a predicted model, not a curated record
GGGGCAAGAUGGCGGCGGCAGUAGGGGUCCGCGGCCGGUGCGAGCUGCCGCCUUGCUCCGGCCCUGGCUGGCUUCUCAGCCUUUCCGCCUUGCUGAGUGUGGCGGUUCGAGGGUCCUUCGCGACCACGCACUGGGUCGUCACGGAGGACGGGAAGAUCCAGCAGCAGGUGGAUUCACCAAUGAACUUGAAGCAUCCGCAUGACUUAGUUAUACUAAUGAGACAAGAAACAACUGUUAACUACCUCAAAGAAUUGGAGAAGCAAUUAGUUGCUCAAAAAAUUCACAUAGAAGAGAAUGAGGACAGAGAUACAGGGCUGGAACAGAGACAUAAUAAAGAAGAUCCAGACUGCAUCAAAGCCAAGGUGCCCCUCGGGGACUUGGACUUGUAUGAUGGCACAUACAUAACUUUGGAGAGCAAAGAUAUCAGCCCUGAAGAUUAUAUAGACACAGAAUCUCCUGUUCCACCAGACCCUGAGCAACCUGAUUGUACAAAAAUUCUAGAACUUCCAUACAGUAUACAUGCUUUUCAGCACUUGCGAGGUGUACAAGAGAGAAUUAAUCUUUCCGCACCUCUAUUACCUAAAGAGGAUCCAAUCUUCACAUAUUUAUCUAAGCGAUUAGGAAGGAGUAUAGAUGAUAUAGGUCACCUCAUUCAUGAAGGUCUACGGAAGAACUCUUCCUCAUGGGUACUGUAUAACAUGGCUUCAUUUUACUGGAGAAUAAAGAAUGAGCCAUAUCAGGUAGUGGAAUGUGCCAUGCGAGCACUUCACUUUUCUUCCAGGCACCAUAAAGACAUUGCCCUUGUCAAUCUGGCAAAUGUUCUACACAGAGCACACUUUUCUGCUGAUGCUGCUGUUGUGGUCCACGCAGCUCUGGAUGAUAGCGAUUUCUUCACCAGCUAUUACACUUUGGGGAAUAUAUAUGCAAUGCUUGGGGAAUAUAAUCACUCAGUGCUUUGUUAUGACCAUGCUUUACAAGCCAAACCUGGGUUUGAGCAAGCUAUAAAGAGGAAGCAUGCUGUCCUAUGUCAACAAAAACUCGAACAAAAAUUGGAGGCUCAACAUAGAUCCCUCCAGCGAACACUGAAUGAGUUGAAAGAGUAUCAAAAGCAGCAUGACCACUACCUGAGACAGCAGGAGAUCCUAGAAAAACAUAAGCUAAUUCAGGAGGAGCAAAUCUUAAGAAACAUCAUCCAUGAGACUCAGAUGGCAAAAGAGGCACAAUUAGGAAAUCAUCAAAUAUGCCGUCUGGUCAAUCAGCAGCAGAGCUUGCAUUGCCAGUGGGACCAGCCUGUGCGCUACCAUCGUGGAGACAUCUUUGAACAUGUGGACUAUGUUCAGUUUGGUGAGGAUUCAUCAACCUCCAGUAUGACAUCUGUGAACUUUGAUGUUCAGGCAAAUCAGAGUGAUGUCAGUGAUUCAGUCAAGCCUUCUCCCAUAGCCCAUUCUAUUCUCUGGAUCUGGGGCAGGAACUCUGAUUCCUACAGGGACAAACAGCAUAUUCUGUGGCCUAAAAGAGCAGAUUGUGUGGAAAGCUACCCUAGAGUUCCUGUUGGUGGGGAAUUACCAACCUAUUUUCUGCCUCCGGAAAACAAAGGACUCAGGAUCCACGAACUCAACAGUGAUGAUUAUUCUUCAGAAGAAGAGGUCCAAACCCCAGACUGUUCCAUAACUGACUUCAGAAAAAGCCAGACUCUGUCCUACUUAGUCAAAGAAUUAGAGGUCCGCAUGGAUCUGAAAGCCAAAAUACCAGAUGACCAUGCACGAAAAAUUUUACUUUCCCGUAUUAAUAACCAUACUAUCCCAGAAGAAGAAAUUGGAUCUUUCUUAUUCCAUGCUAUUAACAAGCCAAAUGCUCCUGUCUGGCUCAUACUCAAUGAAGCUGGACUCUACUGGAGAGCAGUAGGAAAUAGCACUUUCGCUAUUGCUUGUCUUCAGAGGGCUUUGAAUCUAGCUCCACUUCAAUACCAGGACAUUCCUCUUGUCAACUUGGCCAACCUUUUGAUUCACUAUGGCCUUCACCUUGAUGCCACUAAGCUGUUACUUCAAGCUUUGGCGAUCAAUAGCUCUGAGCCCCUGACCUUUUUGAGCCUGGGAAAUGCGUACCUUGCUCUGAAGAAUAUCACUGGAGCUCUUGAGGCUUUUAGACAGGCUUUGAAAUUAACUAGCAAAUGCCCAGAGUGUGAAAACAGCCUGAAAUUGAUCCGCUGUAUGCAGUUUUAUCCUUUUCUAUACAACAUCACCUCAUCUGUUUGCAGUGGUAAUUGUCAUGAGAAAACCCUGGACAACAACCAUGACAAACAGAAAUAUUUUGACAACCCACAGUCACUGGAUGCUGUUGAAGAAGAGCCCCCUGAGAGAGGAGCAGAGGAGGACCCUGCACACUCUGUUGAGAGUUCAGGGAGGGACUCAGAUGCCCUUAGACUUGAAAGUACAGUGGUUGAGGAAAGCAAUGGUUCUGAUGAGAUGGAGAAUUCAGAUGAAACAAAGAUGUCAGAAGACAUACUGGCUUUGGUGGAUGAAUUUCAACAGGCAUGGCCUCUGGAAAGCUUCGGGGGAGCCCUGGAGAUGAAAGGGCGGCGUCUGGACUUGCAGGGAAUACGGGUACUGAAAAAAGGUCCCCAAGAUGGAGUGGCCAGAAGCUCUUGCUAUGGAGACUGUAGAAGUGAAGAUGAUGAAGCAACAGAAUGGAUCACAUUCCAAGUCAAACGUGUAAAGAAACCCAAAGGAGAUCAAAAGAAAACUCCUGGGAAAAAGACAGAAUCAAAUCAAGCAGAAAAUGCACAUCGUUACCAAGCAAACCUUGAAAUCACUGGCCCAAAGGUGGCAUCUCCUGGGCCACAAGGGCUACUAGACUGGAAGACCAGGGAAGUGCCAUAGACAUAAUGUAACUGGAUUUCAGCAAGGCAUUUAACAGAGCCUCUUAUGAUAUCCUUGUGAACAAGAUGGAGAAAUGUGGGCUCGAAGGCUUCCCAUUGCCUACAGGACGAAGUCCAAACUUCCUAGUGUGCUGUACAAGACCCUUUACCACCUGUCCUCUAUCUGCCCUUCAGCACCAUUCUCUGAACCAACCAUGCUCUUAUUUUACCUCCAUGCCUUGGCACCUGCUGUUGCCUCUGCAUGGGUGCUGAAAUAUCACUUGUUCAAGUUCAGGUGCCAUCUCUUCCUUGGUGCCUUCAGGCAAAAUUAGUUGCUCUCUGUGUGCGAUUGUUUUAUAUUUUCACUGUAGCACAUAUCCUAUUGUAUUUUAAUGAUUUUAUCUAUGUUUACCUUCCUCACUAGAAUGUGAGCUCAAGGGCAGGCCCUCUUAUUAUUCCUCUUCAUAUCUCUUGUGUCUUACACAGUUCCUAACCCCUUAUAAUAUAUACUUAAUAAAUAUUUCUCAAAUGAAUUUCUUAAAUAUAAAAGAAAAAUGAGCUUUAUUGUGAAAUUUAUGAUUUGUUUCCUGAAGGUAUUAAUUUAAACAGGGUUAGUUUGAAACUCUUCCAAACUGUUCUUUUCUGUUUUAUUAAAAUCUAAAUCUAAACCCCUGCCUAUAUCUCAAACCAUUUUCUAUUGUUGAUAAAUUCCUACAGUAUAGAGAGUGUUAUUCAGAACUAAAGGUCUCCUUCCCAUCCAUUUCAUUGUAAUUCCUUCAGAAGAGACAGACUUGGUUCUGCUCUUUUUGAGGGAACUUAGUCUAAGUAAAGGGCCUGCACACAGAAGGUAUUACUGUGAAGGAUAUCAAUAAAUAAAGUUUUAAAAGCCCUAUGUGUCUUUAAAUAGCAAGGUGAUUGGGGGCAGGCAUGUUAGAGUCAGACCUGGAUUUGGAUCCCAGCUCUGCCACCUUCUAGCCAGGUGACCUUGGGCAAGUCGUUUAAUCUCUCUGAACCUCUGUUUCCUCAUCUGAGAAGUGAGGAUUAAAACCUACCUCAUGAAGUUGUGGUUGCGAAACGCUUAGCAGAGGAUAUGACACACAAUAAGUGCUCUUAAGGUAAAUGAUAGCCUUUCAUUAUCAUUAUUUCCUAUCCUGCUGCUUUUCUUUACAGCAGUUCUCUACCAACGGUGAUUUUGCUGUCCAGAGGAUAUUUGGCAAUGUCUGGAGACAGUUUUAGUUGUCAUAUCUGGGGGAGUAUACUACUGACAUCUAGUGGGUAGAGGCCAAGGAUGCUAAACAUCCUACAAUACAAUGGACAGCCCCCACGACAAAGAAUUAUCCUGCCCAAAGUAUCAAGUUAUCAAACCCUGCUUUAGAAAGAUGUGUUUCUACGGAGUAAGUUACAGUUGUUAUAAAAUCAUAAUGUGAAGAAGUAAAAGUUAAGUCCUGUAAAAUGCUUAACAUUGAAGGAUAUCUUAACCCUUAUCUCAUGUUCAUCAAUCUUAAAUCCAAAAAAGGAAACAUUUGCUUUUACUUCACCAUUGAUCUUUGCAAACAUAGCUUUACUUAAAGAUGAUCCUUAUUCCUCUUCCAUGAAAGACAAGGUUUUAAUUAGAUCUGUAGAUGGUGGAAAUUCUGAAGACCGGAAGAAUGACUGACACCUCCAAAUACAUCAAUCUGAGUGAAGUAAUAUCCACAGAAUAAGCAACUUUGGGUUCUGUUCUAUUCUUUUGUGAUUGUGUUGAUUCGUGAUGUUCCUUCCUUCCAGGAAAAAAGCGUGAUUACCAGAGUCUGGGCUGGCCCAGUCCAGACGAGUGCCUCAGACUCCGCUGGGUAGAGCUGACUGCCAUCGUGAGUACCUGGCUUGCAGUUUCUUCAAAAAACAUUGACAUCACAGAACACAUAGACUUUGCAACCC